This 497-nucleotide ribosomal RNA is filed under the name uncultured bacterium. Its description in RNAcentral is "partial 16S ribosomal RNA". It matches the Rfam family "Bacterial small subunit ribosomal RNA", at positions 28 to 507 of the family's 1533-position model. The record is from RNAcentral.
GAUGAACGCUGGCGGCGUGCCUAAUACAUGCAAGUCGAGCGAACAGAUAAGGAGCUUGCUCCUUUGACGUUAGCGGCGGACGGGUGGGUAACACGUGGGUAACCUACCUAUAAGACUGGGAUAACUUCGGGAAACCGGAGCUAAUACCGGAUAACAUUUGGAACCGCAUGGUUCUAAAGUGAAAGAUGGUUUUGCUAUCACUUAUAGAUGGACCCGCGCCGUAUUAGCUAGUUGGUAAGGUAACGGCUUACCAAGGCGACGAUACGUAGCCGACCUGAGAGGGUGAUCGGCCACACUGGAACUGAGACACGGUCCAGACUCCUACGGGAGGCAGCAGUAGGGAAUCUUCCGCAAUGGGCGAAAGCCUGACGGAGCAACGCCGCGUGAGUGAUGAAGGGUUUCGGCUCGUAAAACUCUGUUAUUAGGGAAGAACAAACGUGUAAGUAACUGUGCACGUCUUGACGGUACCUAAUCAGAAAGCCACGGCUAACUACGUG